GCAGCACACUUUCAAGUUGUAGAACUUGUACUAGCACACUUGAAAGAAUUGAAUUCUGAGCCUGUGAAGCCCAAGGGAUACACACAAGGAAUCUGAGGUGGGACCGGCAGCUCCAGCAGCGUUGGUGACUUCAAGGCGUAGACCACAAACUCCAGCUGAGGAGUAUCCACAAGACAUAAGGAGCUUGGAUCCCCAUAGAAUCACACAGAAGAGAACAAUUAUGCCAACCUGAUGACUUCUAUGUGUGGAUUUCUUCUUUCCUAGCUUAUCCUAACUACUACAAAUAGUCAAUAGAAGUAUGUAGAGUAGAACUGAAGACAGAAAACCAAUCAGUCAAUCAACCAACCAACCAACCAACUAACCAACAAAAUACCAAGGUCCUUCUGAAAGGAAAUGCUUGGUCCUUCUUUAUGAGUAAGCCAUAGAAAUAAUAAUUUUCAAAAGGAAAUUUGUUGAUAAAAAGAGAGUAUCAUUUCAGAAAAUUUCUGUUAUUUAUUUAUUUGAUGGAUGAAAUAUUUACAUUCACCAUCUAGGCAGAUGGCUGAUUUCAAAGACAAAAGAAGAGAAAGAUGGAAGCUUUAUUUCCUUCCUAAACAUCUCAAUAUUUGGUCUAAAUAAAGCUAUCUAUAAUUAAGUGCA
Suricata suricatta (meerkat) is the source of this 639-nucleotide long non-coding RNA. RefSeq lists it as uncharacterized. Lineage: Eukaryota; Metazoa; Chordata; Mammalia; Carnivora; Herpestidae. The transcript is spliced from 2 exons. The record is from RefSeq and is a predicted model, not a curated record.